GAUGAACGCUGGCGGCGUGCCUAAUACAUGCAAGUCGAGCGAACGGACGAGAAGCUUGCUUCUCUGAUGUUAGCGGCGGACGGGUGAGUAACACGUGGAUAACCUACCUAUAAGACUGGGAUAACUUCGGGAAACCGUAGCUAAUACCGGAUAAUAUUUUGAACCGCAUGGUUCAAUAGUGAAAGACGGUUUUGCUGUCACUUAUAGAUGGAUCCGCGCUGCAUUAGCUAGUUGGUAAGGUAACGGCUUACCAAGGCAACGAUGCAUAGCCGACCUGAGAGGGUGAUCGGCCACACUGGAACUGAGACACGGUCCAGACUCCUACGGGAGGCAGCAGUAGGGAAUCUUCCGCAAUGGGCGAAAGCCUGACGGAGCAACGCCGCGUGAGUGAUGAAGGUCUUCGGAUCGUAAAACUCUGUUAUUAGGGAAGAACAAAUGUGUAAGUAACUGUGCACAUCUUGACGGUACCUAAUCAGAAAGCCACGGCUAACUACGUG
This 497-nucleotide ribosomal RNA is filed under the name uncultured bacterium. Its description in RNAcentral is "partial 16S ribosomal RNA". It matches the Rfam family "Bacterial small subunit ribosomal RNA", at positions 28 to 507 of the family's 1533-position model. The record is from RNAcentral.